AUGUUCUAACUGCAAAGGAUUCGGGGUAGAGGAACGUAACACCUAGCAAAGGAGAUCCUGGCCAUCCGUGACUGGAGAUCCUGGCCAUCCGUGACCAUAUGCUCUGAGGUUCCCGACAGCCACCAGCCGAGUGAAAGAGCCGGCAGCGGCAACUACACCACCUCUCCAGUCUCAAUCCGGUCCCACUCCAGAGAUUAAGCCUAGAUAAAAUGGAUUAAUCUGAUGGCUAAGUCAGAUUCAAAGGAAGCUGUGAGGGAGCUGGUAGCUUGGCUACUUCCUGGAGCAAAGCCUAUGAAAAUGUCGAGAGCUGACUUGGUGUUGUGUUAUGGGCAUCAACACUGUCCCUUUUAAGAUCUGCUAUCUGCACUCACUGUACCAUUACUGCCAACACUGACUUGAUGGAAUGGUCUCGAGAAGUUAUCAAAGCCGUGCAAAAGUCAACAUAUGAAUCAAGCUGGUUCUCAUCACACAA
Long non-coding RNA from Mastomys coucha (southern multimammate mouse), 472 nucleotides. RefSeq lists it as uncharacterized. The transcript is spliced from 3 exons. NCBI's taxonomy places the organism in Eukaryota, Metazoa, Chordata, Mammalia, Rodentia, Muridae. The record is from RefSeq and is a predicted model, not a curated record.